GACGAACGCUGGCGGCGUGCUUAACACAUGCAAGUCGAACGGAAAGGCCCUGCUUUUGUGGGGUGCUCGAGUGGCGAACGGGUGAGUAACACGUGAGUAACCUGCCCUUGACUUUGGGAUAACUUCAGGAAACUGGGGCUAAUACCGGAUAGGAGCUCCUGCUGCAUGGUGGGGGUUGGAAAGUUUCGGCGGUUGGGGAUGGACUCGCGGCUUAUCAGCUUGUUGGUGGGGUAGUGGCUUACCAAGGCUUUGACGGGUAGCCGGCCUGAGAGGGUGACCGGCCACAUUGGGACUGAGAUACGGCCCAGACUCCUACGGGAGGCAGCAGUGGGGAAUAUUGCACAAUGGGCGGAAGCCGGAUGCAGCAACGCCGCGUGCGGGAUGACGGCCUUCGGGUUGUAAACCGCUUUCGCCUGUGACGAAGCGUGAGGGACGGUAAUGGGUAAAGAAGCACCGGCUAACUACGU
This 467-nucleotide ribosomal RNA is filed under the name uncultured bacterium. RNAcentral's name for it is "partial 16S ribosomal RNA". It matches the Rfam family "Bacterial small subunit ribosomal RNA", at positions 28 to 506 of the family's 1533-position model. The record is from RNAcentral.